Molecule: non-coding RNA, 91 nt
Filed under: uncultured Clostridium sp.
Lineage: Bacteria; Bacillati; Bacillota; Clostridia; Eubacteriales; Clostridiaceae
Description: NiCo riboswitch
Rfam family: NiCo (Nickel/Cobalt) riboswitch aptamer
Source: RNAcentral
ACAGUACAAACUGAGCAGGCGAUGAAUUAUUUAUAUUCAUGGGGCCGGGCCAAAUGGCAACAGAUGGAUUUAAACACAUCUGUGGGACAGU